Molecule: unclassified non-coding RNA, 222 nt
Filed under: rhizosphere metagenome
Description: partial ribosomal RNA internal transcribed spacer region
Source: RNAcentral
GUAGGUGAACCUGCGGAAGGAUCAUUAUUGAGAUAGGGGCUUCCGGCCCCGACCCUCCCACCCGUGUUUACCGACCUUUUGUUGCUUUGGCGGGCUGGCGGCCGGGUCGCAUCCCGGCCGCUGCUGCCUGCCCGCCGAAAGCCCACCCGAACUCGCUUACCGGUGAUGUCCGAGCAACAGAACAAUAACUUAAAACUUUCAACAACGGAUCUCUUGGUUCUG